Molecule: long non-coding RNA, 613 nt
Organism: Sebastes umbrosus (honeycomb rockfish)
Lineage: Eukaryota; Metazoa; Chordata; Actinopteri; Perciformes; Sebastidae
Exons: 3
Source: RefSeq, a predicted model, not a curated record
GUACACCGUAACACCCUUGCGGUGUACUGUGUAGUAUUUUUCUAAACAGCUCUACUGGAAAACCUGCCUUGUUACCCUUGCUCUAUGAUUAUGUCAAAAUGUAUGAUCGGAGAGAAGAAAAUUAUAAAUGAUAAUGUCAGGUCAAAGGUCAUUUUAACUUUAGCUAGUAUGUUCAAACUAGGAAAAAAGGUUUUACUAUUCCCUUUACAAAUGGAUUUAUGUAAAUUGUAUGUUGUUAUGUAUGUCUUCUGUUUGUCUAGGUUAAAGGGAUACUUUGGGUGUUUUGAAGUCGGCUUGUAUGAGGUACUUAUCCAUAGUCAGUGUUUUACCUACAGCAGGUGACCGAUUGCACGACUAACAAACUAACCGAUCGAGGCAGCGGUAGACCAGCAACUCCCAUGUUCUGCGAGGUAAAAUUACUGGGGGGUUUUUUCAAUGGAGUCUGGUUGCUUUGGUGAGAGCAUAUAUAACGGCUUCAGUUCCCCAUCGGAAACAUAGACUGUAUAGCUGCCUCACGGCAAGGUAGACCGGAGAAAAUAUUCUGAAUAUAGCGUACACUUAAACUGAUAUACAUUUUUUGAGGUGGGUCUUUCUUUUAGGUGGCUAAAAUACA